GACGAACGCUGGCGGCGUGCCUAAUACAUGCAAGUUGAGCGCUGAAGGUUGGUACUUGUACCAACUGGAUGAGCAGCGAACGGGUGAGUAACGCGUGGGGAAUCUGCCUUUGAGCGGGGGACAACAUUUGGAAACGAAUGCUAAUACCGCAUAAAAACUUUAAACACAAGUUUUAAGUUUGAAAGAUGCAAUUGCAUCACUCAAAGAUGAUCCCGCGUUGUAUUAGCUAGUUGGUGAGGUAAAGGCUCACCAAGGCGAUGAUACAUAGCCGACCUGAGAGGGUGAUCGGCCACAUUGGGAAUGAGACACGGCCCCAACCCCCACGGGAGGCAGCAGUAGGGAAACUUCGGCAAUGGGCGAAAGGCUGACCGCGGAAAGCCGCGGGAGGGAAGAAGGGUUUCGGAGCGUAAAACUCUGUUGGUAGAGAAGGAAGAUGGGCAGAGUGGAAAGCUCAUGAAGUGACGGUAACUACCGAGAAAGCGACGGCUAACUACGUG
Molecule: ribosomal RNA, 497 nt
Filed under: uncultured bacterium
Lineage: Bacteria
Description: partial 16S ribosomal RNA
Rfam family: Bacterial small subunit ribosomal RNA
Source: RNAcentral